Zonotrichia albicollis (white-throated sparrow) is the source of this 587-nucleotide long non-coding RNA. The record is from Ensembl. NCBI's taxonomy places the organism in Eukaryota, Metazoa, Chordata, Aves, Passeriformes, Passerellidae.
AGCAAUGGAUAUUCUGAUGUUGCUAGACACUUAUUUUUGAUUGUGUAUUAAUUUUCUUUACAGAUAUCCAAUCUGUUCUAUGGCAAGUUUGAUAUCAGCAGAUGUCAUGGAGACUCAAGAAGGUUCCUUAUCAUUUCCCACUGUAUGAAGUCUCUUGAACAUUACUCUGAAACAUGGAACUGCUUCACCUUGGGGUCAGAGCUUUUUACUACAUGGAAAACUUAUUUAAUCCACUUAUGGUUUCUCUGUUUCAAGUAAAUGAGUAGUUCACUGAUGCAAUGGAAGAAUUACGAAUAACUGCAAUGAAAGCACAGGCAAGCCAGAUACUAAGAUAUCACAACAGAUCCAUUCUUUGAAACAGUUCAGCUGUGCAAGUUUUCAACACAAAAGUACAUCCUGGAACUGCCACUUGGGCUGCAUUGUCCAUCACAAAAGCAAAUUUGGAUGUAAACUCUGGAAUCCUACUAAAGACAAUGGAGAUGCUAAUGAAGACACUGAGAUCAGGAUCAAGGCCGCUAGGUACAAGACAAAGGCUCGCUGAAAUGGCCAUUUUAAAAGCCUGAGGUGAAACAUAUAUAACCAGUACU